GUGCCGUCCCAGUGGGAAUUAGAUUUCAACAUGUGGAUUUGGGGGUACACAGUCAGACCAUAGCAACCUUCUACUGAUCGGAAUUGUCUCCGUUUUUGUCAUCCCUAGUGCAGUAUGGCCUCGUGUAGAAGAGGGACUCGAUACUUGCUUGCUGGACAAAUGAGUGUUUUUGCUUUGGUCAAUGGAAUGAGGAGGAGGUGACAAUGUGCUGGCCCCAGUCAUGGACACAGAGACCAAGUGUGAUCAAAGAAUAGGGUGAUUAAAAACAAUGCUGCUGCCAAGUCCAGUCUAAUAGAAACGCAGAUUCCUAAAAAGGUGGUUUAUUUUUCUCCACUGGAUCUAGUACUAUGACUUCUGGCUCUUCCUCAAAGUCAAAAUAACCAUAAGGUAAAUAUUUUAAUUGAUUGAGGACAUAGAAGCAGACAUGGCACUCAUGAAAGAGGACUUCCAGAACUGCUUCAGAAAGUGGCAAGAGUGAGAGGGUAAGUGUGGUUGAAGCAACGGGGAGUAUUUUGAGGGGGAUUAAUAGCAAUGAAUCUUUUACUAUAAAGCAUUUAAAAGAUGUAAAUAUUCACUGUAUUUUUCAAUCAUAUUGCAUA
Heterocephalus glaber (naked mole-rat) is the source of this 599-nucleotide non-coding RNA. The record is from RefSeq and is a predicted model, not a curated record. NCBI's taxonomy places the organism in Eukaryota, Metazoa, Chordata, Mammalia, Rodentia, Bathyergidae.